GGGUGUGCCGCAGAAACCCCUGUCGCACAGGUUAUAAUAAAAAGGAUGGUCGGGCCGCCGUCC
This 63-nucleotide non-coding RNA is filed under the name unclassified sequences. RNAcentral describes it as "Li+-I sequence". It matches the Rfam family "nhaA-I RNA". Rfam says of the family: Acidobacteria, Alphaproteobacteria, Betaproteobacteria and Gammaproteobacteria, Verrucomicrobia, cand. division NC10. Downstream gene The record is from Rfam by way of RNAcentral.